GGCGUGCUUAACACAUGCAAGUCGAACGAAGAGCGAUGGAAGCUUGCUUCUAUCAAUCUUAGUGGCGAACGGGUGAGUAACGCGUAAUCAACCUGCCCUUCAGAGGGGGACAACAGUUGGAAACGACUGCUAAUACCGCAUACGAUCUAACCUUGGCAUCGAGGAUGGAUGAAAGGUGGCCUCUAUUUAUAAGCUAUCACUGAAGGAGGGGAUUGCGUCUGAUUAGCUAGUUGGAGGGGUAACGGCCCACCAAGGCGAUGAUCAGUAGCCGGUCUGAGAGGAUGAACGGCCACAUUGGGACUGAGACACGGCCCAGACUUCUACGGGAGGCAGCAGUGGGGAAUCUUCCGCAAUGGACGAAAGUCUGACGGAGCAACGCCGCGUGAGUGAUGACGGCCUUCGGGUUGUAAAGCUCUGUUAAUCGGGACGAAAGGCCUUCUUGCGAAUAGUGAGAAGGAUUGACGGUACCGGAAUAGAAAGCCACGGCUAACUACGUGCCAGCAGCCGCGGUAAUACGUAGGUGGCAAGCGUUGUCCGGAAUUAUUGGGCGUAAAGCGCGCGCAGGCGGAUCGGUCAGUCUGUCUUAGAAGUUCGGGGCUUAACCCCGUGAUGGGAUGGAAACUGCCAAUCUAGAGUAUCGGAGAGGAAAGUGGAAUUCCUAGUGUAGCGGUGAAAUGCGUAGAUAUUAGGAAGAACACCAGUGGCGAAGGCGACUUUCUGGACGAAACUGACGCUGAGGCGCGACACCAGGGGAGCGAACGGGAUUAGAUACCCCGGUAGUCCUGGCCGUAAACGAUGGGUACUAGGUGUAGGAGGUAUCGACCCCUUCUGUGCCGGAGUUAACGCAAUAAGUACCCCGCCUGGGGAGUACGACCGCAAGGUUGAAACUCAAAGGAAUUGACGGGGGCCCGCACAAGCGGUGGAGUAUGUGGUUUAAUUCGACGCAACGCGAAGAACCUUACCAGGUCUUGACAUUGAUGGACAGAACCAGAGAUGGUUCCUCUUCUUCGGAAGCCAGAAAACAGGUGGUGCACGGUUGUCGUCAGCUCGUGUCGUGAGAUGUUGGGUUAAGUCCCGCAACGAGCGCAACCCCUAUCUUAUGUUGCCAGCACGUAAAGGUGGGAACUCAUGAGAGACUGCCGCAGACAAUGCGGAGGAAGGCGGGGAUGACGUCAAAUCAUCAUGCCCCUUAUGACCUGGGCUACACACGUACUACAAUGGGAGUUAAUAGACGGAAGCGAGAUCGCGAGAUGGAGCAAACCCGAGAAACACUCUCUCAGUUCGGAUCGUAGGCUGCAACUCGCCUACGUGAAGUCGGAAUCGCUAGUAAUCGCAGGUCAGCAUACUGCGGUGAAUACGUUCCCGGGCCUUGUACACACCGCCCGUCACACCACGAAAGUCGGAAGUGCCCAAAGCCGGUGGGGUAACCUUCGGGAGCCAGCCGUCUAAGGUAAAGUCGAUGAUUGGGGUGAAGUCGUAACAAGG
This 1485-nucleotide ribosomal RNA is filed under the name uncultured bacterium. RNAcentral describes it as "bacterial SSU rRNA". It matches the Rfam family "Bacterial small subunit ribosomal RNA". The record is from RNAcentral.